GAUGAACGCUGGCGGCGUGCCUAAUACAUGCAAGUCGAGCGAACAGACGAGGAGCUUGCUCCUCUGACGUUAGCGGCGGACGGGUGAGUAACACGUGGAUAACCUACCUAUAAGACUGGGAUAACUUCGGGAAACCGGAGCUAAUACCGGAUAAUAUAUUGAACCGCAUGGUUCAAUAGUGAAAGACGGUUUUGCUGUCACUUAUAGAUGGAUCCGCGCCGCAUUAGCUAGUUGGUAAGGUAACGGCUUACCAAGGCAACGAUGCGUAGCCGACCUGAGAGGGUGAUCGGCCACACUGGAACUGAGACACGGUCCAGACGCCUACGGGAGGCAGCAGUAGGGAAUCGUACGCAAUGGGCGAAAGCCUGACGGAGCAACGCCGCGUGAGUGAUGAAGGUCUUCGGAUCGUAAAACUCUGUUAUGAGGGAAGAACAAAUGUGUAAGUAACUAUGCACGUCUUGACGGUACCUAAUCAGAAAGCCACGGCUAACUACGUG
This 497-nucleotide ribosomal RNA is filed under the name uncultured bacterium. RNAcentral describes it as "partial 16S ribosomal RNA". It matches the Rfam family "Bacterial small subunit ribosomal RNA", at positions 28 to 507 of the family's 1533-position model. The record is from RNAcentral.